Molecule: long non-coding RNA, 1045 nt
Filed under: Chrysemys picta bellii (western painted turtle)
Lineage: Eukaryota; Metazoa; Chordata; Testudines; Emydidae
Description: lncRNA (ENSCPBG00000024105.1)
Source: RNAcentral
AAGAUGGAGAGAGCAUUUUGCUGAUCUGGGUUAUUGUCUAAGGGGCCUCACUUAGAAGAAAGUGUGAAGAUGAGAGAAGAAGAAGGGAACAAAGGAAUGGUGAUGCUGGCAUUGGAUGAUUACAGUUCUCUUCCCCGAGAUGUUCAGAGUCUGAAUGACCUUGAAAAUUCAAGAGCGAAACUCUGAUACCACAACUUCCUCUUUCCUCCACUGUUUGUGUAUCAGCACACUUCUAGUUUGCUGCUGACCAGAUACUAUAGACCAUGGCUGAAUCCUCUGACUUACUCCUAUGGAGUUCAGUGAAAGCAAAAUGGAUCCAGGCAUCUAUCAUCUCCUACAAGGGAGUUUGGUAACAUCAGGAGGUGGCCAGUAUCAUGAAGCCAAAACACAUGUGCUGCUGCACUGAAGAACCACGUGGCAAAUAUAUAAAAGCAUGGCCUGCAGCAUUCCACAGACACAGAAACCUUCAUGGAAUUUUACCAGCAUCAGGAUUGAUUGCCAGCUUGAGGAUUCUCUAUUGGCAGCAGGUCCAAGAGGGACACCGCUUCUUUCUCUAGAUCCAGUGAAAGUGUACUACAGGCUGGCUCUGGAGGCAGCCCGACUGCUGCAGAAUCCUCAAAUCCCUCUCUCAGAAAUGGACUUGGUAGAAUCAUGGAGCGAUCCGUGUUCUGUAUUUAAUCUUAGAUCAUGAGAAAAAGUUAAAUACUGAAAUGGGAGGCUCAGAUAAAAGUAUUAGCAACACCAAGUAGCUCAAAAAUCAUGAGUUACCCCCCAUCCCCCAAAAUAUCAUGAGAUUGGUUUAAAAUAUGAGAUUUUUAAAUUAUAUAAUUUGGGGGUCCUUUUUAUUUGCUGCCUUGGAUUUUGAAUCCCUGGGCACGCUUGGCUCACAUUUUCUAGCUUUUCUCUUCCAGCAUGGGGGCUAGAAACUUAUUUUUAUUUUAAAUGAAAGCUGAGAUUCUUUCCUAAUCACAUGCCUCCAGGAGCAGGCGCUUUAAGAAGAACAUCAACUAUUGCAAGACUCACAAUAAAAUCACAAGCGUUGGCA